This 1893-nucleotide ribosomal RNA is filed under the name Salmonella enterica subsp. enterica serovar Bareilly str. CFSAN000960. RNAcentral describes it as "bacterial LSU rRNA". It matches the Rfam family "Bacterial large subunit ribosomal RNA", at positions 1065 to 2925 of the family's 2925-position model. The record is from RNAcentral. Lineage: Bacteria; Pseudomonadati; Pseudomonadota; Gammaproteobacteria; Enterobacterales; Enterobacteriaceae.
GGGAAACGAUGUGGGAAGGCCCAGACAGCCAGGAUGUUGGCUUAGAAGCAGCCAUCAUUUAAAGAAAGCGUAAUAGCUCACUGGUCGAGUCGGCCUGCGCGGAAGAUGUAACGGGGCUAAACCAUGCACCGAAGCUGCGGCAGCGACACUCAGGUGUUGUUGGGUAGGGGAGCGUUCUGUAAGCCUGUGAAGGUGUGUCGUGAGGCAUGCUGGAGGUAUCAGAAGUGCGAAUGCUGACAUAAGUAACGAUAAAGCGGGUGAAAAGCCCGCUCGCCGGAAGACCAAGGGUUCCUGUCCAACGUUAAUCGGGGCAGGGUGAGUCGACCCCUAAGGCGAGGCCGAAAGGCGUAGUCGAUGGGAAACGGGUUAAUAUUCCCGUACUUGGUGUUACUGCGAAGGGGGGACGGAGAAGGCUAUGUUGGCCGGGCGACGGUUGUCCCGGUUUAAGCGUGUAGGCUGGUUUUCCAGGCAAAUCCGGAAAAUCAAGGCUGAGGCGUGACGACGAGGCACUACGGUGCUGAAGCAACAAAUGCCCUGCUUCCAGGAAAAGCCUCUAAGCAUCAGGUAACAUCAAAUCGUACCCCAAACCGACACAGGUGGUCAGGUAGAGAAUACCAAGGCGCUUGAGAGAACUCGGGUGAAGGAACUAGGCAAAAUGGUGCCGUAACUUCGGGAGAAGGCACGCUGACACGUAGGUGAAGUGAUUUACUCAUGGAGCUGAAGUCAGUCGAAGAUACCAGCUGGCUGCAACUGUUUAUUAAAAACACAGCACUGUGCAAACACGAAAGUGGACGUAUACGGUGUGACGCCUGCCCGGUGCCGGAAGGUUAAUUGAUGGGGUCAGCGCAAGCGAAGCUCCUGAUCGAAGCCCCGGUAAACGGCGGCCGUAACUAUAACGGUCCUAAGGUAGCGAAAUUCCUUGUCGGGUAAGUUCCGACCUGCACGAAUGGCGUAAUGAUGGCCAGGCUGUCUCCACCCGAGACUCAGUGAAAUUGAACUCGCUGUGAAGAUGCAGUGUACCCGCGGCAAGACGGAAAGACCCCGUGAACCUUUACUAUAGCUUGACACUGAACAUUGAGCCUUGAUGUGUAGGAUAGGUGGGAGGCUUUGAAGCGUGGACGCCAGUCUGCGUGGAGCCGACCUUGAAAUACCACCCUUUAAUGUUUGAUGUUCUAACGUGGACCCGUAAUCCGGGUUGCGGACAGUGUCUGGUGGGUAGUUUGACUGGGGCGGUCUCCUCCUAAAGAGUAACGGAGGAGCACGAAGGUUGGCUAAUCCUGGUCGGACAUCAGGAGGUUAGUGCAAUGGCAUAAGCCAGCUUGACUGCGAGCGUGACGGCGCGAGCAGGUGCGAAAGCAGGUCAUAGUGAUCCGGUGGUUCUGAAUGGAAGGGCCAUCGCUCAACGGAUAAAAGGUACUCCGGGGAUAACAGGCUGAUACCGCCCAAGAGUUCAUAUCGACGGCGGUGUUUGGCACCUCGAUGUCGGCUCAUCACAUCCUGGGGCUGAAGUAGGUCCCAAGGGUAUGGCUGUUCGCCAUUUAAAGUGGUACGCGAGCUGGGUUUAGAACGUCGUGAGACAGUUCGGUCCCUAUCUGCCGUGGGCGCUGGAGAACUGAGGGGGGCUGCUCCUAGUACGAGAGGACCGGAGUGGACGCAUCACUGGUGUUCGGGUUGUCAUGCCAAUGGCACUGCCCGGUAGCUAAAUGCGGAAGAGAUAAGUGCUGAAAGCAUCUAAGCACGAAACUUGCCCCGAGAUGAGUUCUCCCUGAGACUUAGAGUCUCCUGAAGGAACGUUGAAGACGACGACGUUGAUAGGCCGGGUGUGUAAGCGCAGCGAUGCGUUGAGCUAACCGGUACUAAUGAACCGUGAGGCUUAACCUUACAACGCCGAAG